Molecule: transfer RNA, 77 nt
Filed under: Candidatus Doriopsillibacter californiensis
Lineage: Bacteria; Pseudomonadati; Pseudomonadota; Gammaproteobacteria; Candidatus Tethybacterales; Candidatus Persebacteraceae
Description: tRNA-Pro
Rfam family: tRNA
About the family: Transfer RNA (tRNA) molecules are approximately 80 nucleotides in length. Their secondary structure includes four short double-helical elements and three loops (D, anti-codon, and T loops).
Source: RNAcentral
CGGGGUAUAGCGCAGCCUGGUAGCGUGCCUGCUUCGGGAGCAGGAGGUCGUGAGUUCGAAUCUCGCUACCCCGACCA